This 450-nucleotide ribosomal RNA is filed under the name uncultured bacterium. RNAcentral's name for it is "partial 16S ribosomal RNA". It matches the Rfam family "Bacterial small subunit ribosomal RNA", at positions 354 to 796 of the family's 1533-position model. The record is from RNAcentral.
GUGGGGAAUUUUGGACAAUGGGCGCAAGCCUGAUCCAGCAAUGCCGCGUGCAGGAAGAAGGCCUUCGGGUUGUAAACUGCUUUUGUACGGAACGAAACGGUCCGGGUUAAUACCCUGGGCUAAUGACGGUACCGUAAGAAUAAGCACCGGCUAACUACGUGCCAGCAGUCGCGGUAAUACGUAGGGUGCAAGCGUUAAUCGGAAUUACUGGGCGUAAAGCGUGCGCAGGCGGUUUUGUAAGACAGGCGUGAAAUCCCCGGGCUCAACCUGGGAAUUGCGCUUGUGACUGCAAGGCUGGAGUGCGGCAGAGGGGGAUGGAAUUCCGCGUGUAGCAGUGAAAUGCGUAGAUAUGCGGAGGAACACCGAUGGCGAAGGCAAUCCCCUGGGCCUGCACUGACGCUCAUGCACGAAAGCGUGGGGAGCAAACAGGAUUAGAAACCCUUGUAGUCC